CCCCAACUUGAAUAUGGAAGAGGAGGAUGGGAAAUAGCAGUGUCCAAAUUGUGCUGUGUCCAAGGACAAGUCUGAUGUGCAUUGUUGUGUAGGUCGUGUAGUAAUUGCAAAUGCAAUGAUUCCACCCAUGUAAGCGAGUGUGCAGGGCGUGCAGAGACCCCGUGGGCACCCCUAACCCUAGCGGGAGGGAGCUGCACGACAGCACCCCAGGCAUGCACACUCAGCUCUGGGAGGAGCACCCUGGGUGCUGGGCCCAAUCAGGUCUGACUUGGCCUCCAGAGAGGCAAGCGGCUGCCCUGGCUCAGGCUGCCCAGCUUUACAGGGGCCUCCCGCCUGACAGCUCUGAGUCUGAGCCAGCUUCUUCCCUGCACAAUUCCAUCUAGUUCCACAUGCAAAGGUCUCGAGCUAAAGCCUGAAGCCUCGGGAUUUCCCGAGUUGACCCAGCUUGCCGUGAGCUGUGACGUAGGUUGAAGAUGCAGCUCAGAUCCUGUGUUCCUGUGGCUGCGGCGGAGCCCGGCAGCUGUAGCUCUGAUUCGACCCCUAGCCUGGGAACUUCCAAAUGUCUCAAGUGCAGCUCUAAAAGGCAAAACAAAAAAAAACGAGGUCUCGUAUUAUUUUUUACCUUUUCUGUGCUUGCCCUCCUAACGCUCCAGCUCAAGGUGACUUGAGGGCACCUGCACUGCCAGGCUCAGUGGGAAGGCAGUGCCUGCCUUUGGCUAUUCAUCCAUUGAGUACUUGAGGUCCUCUUGAAACUGUGAGACACAGGCACAGCCUCUGCAGACGGGGCCAUCUUCAUGUGCAUUACAUUUGUCAGUCACCAGGGCUCUGGGCAAAGAAGGGCAGGGUUUGGUGGAUGCUGGACUGACCUGUCAUUUGGCUGAGAGCACUAGGUACUCAGAAGGAAUAUGGGCACAGACCUGGCCUGUGCUUCUCCUGCCUCGGCUUCUCAAAGCUUCAGGUGGGCGUCAGAAGCAGCUGGCAUUUUCAGCCUCAUGGAGCCUGCUUACCUGACUCUUGGUCAGCACGGAUCACAGGCCUUAGGCAGAGGGCAAACCCCUUAUCCAGCUCUGGUCCCUCCACCUGUGCCUCUACCUGCCCUCCUACAGCCUGCGUCUCUCUAGAAAGCUCUGCUGAAACUGGGGACAAGUAACCAAGGCUUGCCAACAUUCUGAACAAUUCUGAACUGAUUUCUCUAGGGCUGUAGUUUUAUUUAUUUAUGUAUUUAUUUUUGUCUUUUUAGAACCACCAGCAUGGCACAUGGAAGUCCCCAGGCUAGGGGUUGAAUCAGAGCUGCCAGCCUGUGCCAGCCCCAGCGGAUCCUUAGCCCACUGAGUGGGGCCAGGGAUUAAACCCGCAUCCUCGUGGAUACUCAUUGGGUUUGUUACCGCUGAGCCAUGACGGGAACUCCCUAGGGCUGGCUGUAGUUUUAGUCGCAUGUAGUCUACACCUAAUACAUCACAGCAAGGGUCACAGCAAAGUUCUCCACCUGUAAUGCCCCUGCCCUCCACCUGAUCAUUAGGCCAGCUCUUCUCUUCAGGCAUAGGUUCUGUUUUGGCACCACUGUGUUCUCAGCUGCUGUCAAGAGGCUCUAAACCAGCGCUGGCUUCAGUGAGGCAGAAAGCUAUUUCUGUCUCCUGCAUUAGACCACACGGCUGUGGUGGUCGUCGUCCCGAAGAUGGAGGGGCACAGGCCCUUCCACCCGAGGGCUCCCCCUGCCCCAGCGCAUAGUCACUGCUUCAGCCCCUGGGACACGAUGAGAUGAGACCUGGAAGACACACACGUCCCUUCCGCCCGCGGCCCACAUGCCACAUCUCAUGGCCGCGCAGCUGGAAACAUCGUCUUUGCUUGAAUGGGCAAGUGUCAGCUAACAUCCCAUGUCUGAAAAGGACAGGAGGAACGGAAAGCAGGAGAGAAGGACCAGCAGGCUCUGCACAUCCACCAGGGGGCAUAACACGGUGAACACAAAGCCCGGCAGCAACAUCAGAAAACAGAAAACACACUGAUAGGUGUCCGAGACAUCUCAAUAAAUUAGAGGUCCAUCCAUCUACCACCUAUGACAGUAAAAAUGCCACUCUCUCAUGAAUUAGUUAGGAUUAAAUAAUUUUAUUGCAAGCUUGAUAAAAAACACUACUUCUCAGCCAACCUAAACUGUCACAGAAUAAGGUAAACAUGCUGACACAUUGGGACAGCCAGUGCCCACGAGGUGGUGACGUCCUGACCACCCUGACGCGACCCCGAGGCCCACGAGGAGGGCGGGGCAGGGCCUGGGUGCACACAGGCUGCCGUAUCCCAUGCAAAUGUGCUUUCCACUGGGCACGUUAUGCUGUGUUUUUGUCCUGGACUUCUCUCAGUUUUUCCCUCAUUAUGAAGUUUUCCACUGUACAUAUGAAUAAAACCUUUUGCUUUAUUCUGAUAACACCACGUUAUCAGAUUUUGCUGACAAACAUGGCUGCCAUGAGCAUCUGGAGACACAUCCCCUGGUGUUGAUGGAAGGAUCUGCUGCGUGGAUGUGGAGUGGAGGUGGGUUCUGGGCUAUUGCAUCUUCAUUAAUGAUGCCAAGUUAUUUUCCAGUGUGUUGUUCCAACUUCACUCCUAUCCCUACAUGAGAGUAAUUGUUGCUGUACAUUUUUUGAAACCUCAUUAUGGCCAAACUGCAUUUUGCAGCUGGUUAAGUAUAUCCCCAGUGCUGUCAGCACUGAACCCCACUCAUCUGUAGGGCUCAUGGCCUUAGAUGCAGUGUAGACACCCUCACCCCAAGCUUCGUAGGGAGUUGGAACCUCGCUUGUUCAGAUACCCCAGCAUCUCUGUGCACCGUCUCAGAGCUGCCCCCACCCCCCUGCUCACUCUGAGCCUCUGUCUGUACCAGCCUCCACCUGACAUGAUGCUCCAACACUUGGGGGCGUGGCCAUGCCCAAGGCUGGUGCUGCCAAGACCACCAGAGCCCCCAGGCCAGGUUGCUCAGGUGGGGGCAGGACUCGCCCAGACCAAUUCUGGUGCCUAUUCUCCUGCAGAGCUGGCACUGGCAGGGUGCCCAGAAGCUCUGCUAAGCUGUAGGAACUUUCCAGCCCCUGCCCAUUCACAAGGCCCUCCUGGCCUCUGGCUGCCCCUGUGAGGGCGGCUAUCUACAUGGCCUUCUAACGCCCCCAUACGCUAUUCAAGGACCUGCUCUUGCCCACCUAAUAAGUACAGUGGCCCCAUUCUGCUCCUCUGGACACAGCCAACUGGACAGGCACUGACAUCCAAACCAGGGGGGCCUCAUUUACUGGAAUCCUACAGGUCCAUGGGUGCGUGAGUGGACACCUGACCACAGAUUGGCUGGGGCCUCUCCUUAAAAUACAAAUCAAAGUACUAAGUUCCCAGCCUUUUUCCGGCAGGUCUCUCAGAAGCAGCAGAUAUGAACCCAGGCAUUGUGGUGGACAGUUUUUCAUCCCAGCAGACUGUGGCCCUGAGAAGGUAAGUCUGGAGGGAAACCAGCAUCCAGUUUGGGGCGAGAAAUCCAGAAAUUGUUCCGGUUCCCAACUCCAGCUGUCUCCCCACCUGGGUUCCCCGAGAUGUGCUGGGACCCCGCAGACGAAGCUCCUUGUCCUUGCUCAGGUCAUCUGAGGUAGGUGUCUGUCACUGGUGCACGCGACCAACCCCUCCAACUUCCAUCCUGCAGUUUCCUUCUGGCUCCACCUUCAGAUACACAGAAGACGCUGCACGUAUGCGGCUUUAAGGUGGAAAAAACUCAGUUUGGUCCUGCUGCCUGGAGAGCCAGGCCCUCAGUAAUCAGGAUCAAGGGGAGCGGCCUGAGUCACUCGCCCCUUACUGCUGCAUGAACAUAAAGGCGUAAUGGGAUCCCCCCACUACCUUUCAGUGCUUGAAACUCAAAUAAACCUUAGAGUUGGUGGGGAAAGAGGAAAUAUCAACUAACACAAUAAAGCAGUAGGGCUGGCACAGGUGUGACAGCACUGGGAGAGAGAAAUGUCACCUCAUGAGCAGCCGCUCCAGGGACCUGAAAGUACCCUACUCACUCCUUCCCACAGGGAUACACAAUAAGCAGACCAGCUAGAGCAGCAGGAACAGGCGUCUUCAGAACAAGCCUGAGACAGAACGAGGUCUGAGCAGAGCUUGACCUCCUGGAUGUCAAAACUGUCCUAGGCACAGUCGGUCUGCUUGUUUCCAGGACCUUCUGGGUGACAACGCCUGUGCCACCAGUGGGCCAUGGUGGGGAUCUUGGAAGGUUGUACAUGUGCUGGCCCUGGCAUAAAACUCUCUAGAAGUAGCUUCUUUUCAUCGGUUGGAAAAACCAGAACGACCUUCUCAACGGCAUCGAAGCUCCCAGGUCUAGAAGCCAGGAGGCGCCAUGCAGGUGAGUGUGCGACUGCAGCUCAGAGGCUUUGUGCCAUGAGGAGACAGCCCUGCUCCAGGCAGUACUGGCGCCUCCAAGCCAGGUGAGGCCAGGUAAAUACAAUUCAAUACAGUUGGUGCAGGAAUUACUCAAAGACAUCUUAGCUACACAAUCUAAAACAGAGAAUUAGAAAUAAAAGCUGAGGUUCUCAAUUAAGUAAAUUGUCCACUGUAUAUAAAGAUGAAAAUACAGACAAAACCCCAACUAUUUCCUCCUGAUUUGGCACUCGACAGGCCUCGGUGAGAACCCUGCCAUGACUUCCUAGUCCUCCUGUCUCUGAAAGGAUGCCAGAGAGAUGCUUGCGGCAAUAACAGUGAGUUUUCUUUUUCUUCCUGAAAGUUCUUUCUUCUCAAGCAGAAGUUGCGACUGGAUUAAAAGCUCUGAGGCCCUACUCAGCCUGAAGCUGGGAGAGCCUGGGAAGGGGCUUCCAACACAGCCUAGGGGUUCAGGUGCCACCUUGGGAAAAGACAGACAUUCCCUCUUUUUGGGAUACUGUGACUGGGCAACGAGUGAAGUCACAAGCCAGAGACUCCCAACUCAACCAUUUUCCAAUGUUACUUUGUUGAUAACACAUCCAGAAGAUAAACCUACCAAACCAUAUUAAGUAAAUCAUACAAUUUCAAUGGGCCAGAAUUACUCAACCCACAGGAAAAAAGAAAAACCAGCCCAGAAUUAGUCAGCUGGGCCAGCCUUGGGGCUGCAAGCUCUCUGCAAGCAGUGCCUAAACUCAGGGGGGCCAGGGUGCAGUGGGGGCCCAGCAGGCAUCUGAGCCCCAACAGGGCAACCUCUGUGCCUGUCUCAUCAAGAGAGCAUUAAGAGGAAUGCCGACUUCACUGCUCCCAUUGUGGUGCAGCAGUAAUGAACCCGAAGUAUCCAUGACGACAUGAGUCCAAUCCCUGGCCUCGCUCAGAGGAUUAAGGAUCUGGCAUUGCCAUGAGCUGUGGUAUAGGUGACAGACGCCGCUCAGAUUCUGUGUUGCUGUGGCUGUCGUGCAGGCCGGCAGCU
RNAcentral lists this long non-coding RNA (5395 nucleotides) under Sus scrofa (pig). Its description in RNAcentral is "lncRNA (ENSSSCG00000062453.1)". Lineage: Eukaryota; Metazoa; Chordata; Mammalia; Artiodactyla; Suidae. The record is from RNAcentral.